Brassica rapa (field mustard) is the source of this 2275-nucleotide long non-coding RNA. RefSeq lists it as uncharacterized. Lineage: Eukaryota; Viridiplantae; Streptophyta; Magnoliopsida; Brassicales; Brassicaceae. The record is from RefSeq and is a predicted model, not a curated record.
UUAAGAUUUAGGGUUUAGUGAUUAGGAUUUAGGGUUUAGUGUUUGCUGGAAAAAAAAUUAAUUGUUUUUCUGUAAAUAUUAUUUUGUUUUACUUUUUUUUUAAACAUAAUAUAAUUUGAUAAUAUUUUGUUUUCUAUUUAAAAGAUAUCAAAUUUGAAAUAAUGAAAUCUUAUUCGUUGGUGAACAUAGAGGUUCAUCCUAGGAGGUGAACCUAAGAAUAACUCUUAUUUAUCUAAUUUUAGUCGACUAGUUUACUUUAUCUUAUUUAUGCUCGUUUAACAGAAAGUCGCUAUCUUAUACAUAGAACAAUAUCUUCAAAAGAUUUGAUUUCACUGUAUCAAUUCAGACCAACGAUGGGUAGAAGCCAAAGUCAUGACAGCUCACAUUGAGUCGAUGAUGAUGCGUACUCUCAAGAUAAUCACAAAAUAUUUGGUCAAAAUAAUAAACCACAGAAAAAAUAUUUUGCAUGAUUUUUGUUUUUUCGUCUCUUAGGAGCUAUAUAUCUAAACCCUUUAACAAAAAAAAGAGCUAUAUAUCUUGUUUCUUAUUACAUUUCUAUAUUAACAAAUUUAAAACAUUAUAUAUAAUUUUGUUAUGAAGAAUUUGUGAGAAAAAGAACACAAAUUUUCAAAAGUUUAGAGAAACUGAAACAUUCAACCAUCUAGUUUUUUUUUUCUGUUAAUGUGUGAAUGCAUAAGAGAUAUUUAGCUAUAUGCACCUGAAAUAGUCUCAAAUUAAAGAACUACACAGGAUUUGAAAGAAGUGGUCUUUUUCGUAUCUUUUGUGCACUGAGAGUAUAAAAAUACCCCUUAGCUCUGACAAGAAAAACAGCUCAAAGGAUAGUAGAUCAAUGUUUGAAGAGGUAGAUUUGGCCCUAGGUAAGUUCUUCAUCAUAUGUUGUCUCUGGUUUUCAUGUCGGCUAUAUACACAAUUUGACACAAAAUAAUAGGCGGUAUCAAACAACAAUUAAAAUAUUAGAAUAUAUUAUAAUUUAGUACUCACUAUCAGUGACCCUAUUGCUGAAGAAUAUAAAUAUAUAUUAUAUUUCUUAAAAUAAUAAUCUAAAUUACCGUAUGAUUAAUAAAUUGAUAACAAUAAACAAAUUGUGUCAUAUAAAACUUACCAUUUUUAGUUUACAGUGAGUAUCCGAUAAAACAUUAAUACUAUUGAACUUACAAAUUAUGUGUUAAUAUUAAUGUUAUAUGUUAACACACUAUUUGAUGAAGGCUAUGGUUUGGCAACAUUCAUGUGAAUAUCCUAUGUGCUAUUGUCAGUUUUAGAAGUGCUAUAAAUGUAACAUACAACUCUUAAAUUAACAAAUAUAUUUACUUAAAAAAUUUAAAUACUACAUAUAUUAAGUUAUAUGUUAGCAUGAUACAUGUAUCGAUAACAACCAAUAUAUAAAGUUACCACCAAUAAAUAAUGUUAUCAUGGUUUGCUAGUUGAUACAUAAUUUAUUAACUGGUACAAAUCAUUUAGCUGACAAACAAUGUAUCAUUUAACAAAGCAUGUAUCUGCUACAUACAAUUAUUUUAUGACAAGUUCAUCUGACGGAGGAGUUCAAGGAUGAGCGCCAUAACGGUGUCUGUGAUUCCUUGGCUCGGGAAGUAUCGACAUUGACACGACGAAUAACUAAAUCGACCUCGAGAGUUGAAUCAAUGACACGAUUGACAAAAUCAAAACAUAAAAUAAGUUGAUGAGGACAGAUUUCGAGUUGAGAAAUUAGGAGUCCUACCAAAACUUUUUAGUCUAUUUAGGUAUCUACCAAUUGAUACUAUUUAGACACUGUAUAUAAUCACUUAUGACUCUGCUGCCCCUAUAUUUACUCUAAUGCACUAUUAGUCGAAUCUUCUCAUGUUAAAUUGGUAAUAUUUGAUAUCACGUUACUUACCAACUAUUACAAAAUUAAUAUUCAGUUUUCUUCCUCUUUCAUCUUUCCUAUUUCGUAAUCUCUUUCAUCUGCAAAUAGCUUCCAAAUUCCAGAAGAUAAUUAAUUUUGUGUAAGAUGAAAUCAUUUUCUUAAUACCUAUACCAUCCAUAACAAAGAUCCAAAACGAAGGUUUAUUCAAUCAAUCCAAAGAAUGGAAACAAAAUGAAGGAAGAUGAAGCUGGCUUUGGGUCUGAAUAUCUGCACUUACUUCCCAAGAACCGUAGACGAAUCAUCUUCUGCUUCAAACUUCACAGUAAAACUAUUCAAUGUUACUAGUUCAAAAAAAAAAAUUAUUGUACCAUAACAGUGAAUUCUGAAUAAUUGAAAGUUAGGUUUUCUAUUACC